CCACAAAGGGAUGCGAACCUGCGAGGGGGAGCGAACCCCAGAAAAGCUGUCCCAGUUCGGAUUGUAGUCUGCAACCCGACUACAUGAAGCUGGAAUCGCUAGUAAUCGCGAAUCAGAAUGUCGCGGUGAAUACGUUCCCGGGUCUUGUACACACCGCCCGUCACACCAUGGGAGAUGGAUAUGCCCGAAGUCAGUGACCUAACCGAAAGGGAGGAGCUGCCGAAGGUGGAGCCAUUAACUGGGGUGAAGUCGUAACAAGGUAAC
RNAcentral lists this ribosomal RNA (264 nucleotides) under uncultured bacterium. RNAcentral describes it as "partial 16S ribosomal RNA". It matches the Rfam family "Bacterial small subunit ribosomal RNA", at positions 1237 to 1500 of the family's 1533-position model. The record is from RNAcentral.